AUCUACAGCCAUACCACCUUGACCAUACCCGAUCUAGUCUGAUCUCAGAAGCUAAGCAGCAUCAGGCCUAGUUAAUAUUUGGAUGGGAGAUGGCAAGACUUUCCUUCCACUAGGAACGUCAGAAUGAGGCUC
Vulpes vulpes (red fox) is the source of this 132-nucleotide ribosomal RNA. The record is from Ensembl. Lineage: Eukaryota; Metazoa; Chordata; Mammalia; Carnivora; Canidae.